GAUGAACGCUGGCGGCGUGCUUAACACAUGCAAGUCGAACGGAAAGGCUCCUGCUUGCAGGGGUACUCGAGUGGCGAACGGGUGAGUAACACGUGGGUGAUCUGCCCUGCACUUCGGGAUAAGCCUGGGAAACUGGGUCUAAUACCGGAUAGGACGAUGGUUUGGAUGCCAUUGUGGAAAGUUUUUUCGGUGUGGGAUGAGCUCGCGGCCUAUCAGCUUGUUGGUGGGGUAAUGGCCUACAAAGGCGUCGACGGGUAGCCGGCCUGAGAGGGUGUACGGCCACAUUGGGACUGAGAUACGGCCCAGACUCCUACGGGAGGCAGCAGUGGGGAAUAUUGCACAAUGGGCGCAAGCCUGAUGCAGCGACGCCGCGUGGGGGAUGACGGCCUUCGGGUUGUAAACUCCUUUCGCUAGGGACGAAGCGCAAGUGACGGUACCUGGAGAAGAAGCACCGGCUAACUACGUG
Molecule: ribosomal RNA, 466 nt
Filed under: uncultured bacterium
Lineage: Bacteria
Description: partial 16S ribosomal RNA
Rfam family: Bacterial small subunit ribosomal RNA
Source: RNAcentral